Molecule: ribosomal RNA, 422 nt
Filed under: Klebsiella pneumoniae
Lineage: Bacteria; Pseudomonadati; Pseudomonadota; Gammaproteobacteria; Enterobacterales; Enterobacteriaceae
Description: bacterial SSU rRNA
Rfam family: Bacterial small subunit ribosomal RNA
Source: RNAcentral
CAGGCGGUCUGUCAAGUCGGAUGUGAAAUCCCCGGGCUCAACCUGGGAACUGCAUUCGAAACUGGCAGGCUAGAGUCUUGUAGAGGGGGGUAGAAUUCCAGGUGUAGCGGUGAAAUGCGUAGAGAUCUGGAGGAAUACCGGUGGCGAAGGCGGCCCCCUGGACAAAGACUGACGCUCAGGUGCGAAAGCGUGGGGAGCAAACAGGAUUAGAUACCCUGGUAGUCCACGCCGUAAACGAUGUCGAUUUGGAGGUUGUGCCCUUGAGGCGUGGCUUCCGGAGCUAACGCGUUAAAUCGACCGCCUGGGGAGUACGGCCGCAAGGUUAAAACUCAAAUGAAUUGACGGGGGCCCGCACAAGCGGUGGAGCAUGUGGUUUAAUUCGAUGCAACGCGAAGAACCUUACCUGGUCUUGACAUCCACAG